This is a non-coding RNA of Triticum urartu, 124 nucleotides long. The record is from Rfam. Lineage: Eukaryota; Viridiplantae; Streptophyta; Magnoliopsida; Poales; Poaceae.
AUAGUACUCCCUUCGUCCGGAAAUACUUGUCACAAAAAUAAUAGAAAUGGAUGUAUCUAGAACUAAAAUACAUCUAGAUACAUUCAUUUCUCUGACAAGUAAUUCCGGACGAAGGGAGUACUGC